This 200-nucleotide ribosomal RNA is filed under the name uncultured organism. Its description in RNAcentral is "partial small subunit ribosomal RNA". It matches the Rfam family "Bacterial small subunit ribosomal RNA", at positions 1184 to 1382 of the family's 1533-position model. The record is from RNAcentral.
GUCAAGUCAUCAUGGUCCUUACGUCUAGGGCUACACACGUGCUACAAUGGUCGGUACAGAGGGUCGCCUAGCCGCAAGGUGAAGCCAAUCCCAGAAAGCCGACCUCAGUGCGGAUUGUCGUCUGCAACUCGACGGCAUGAAGCUGGAAUCGCUAGUAAUCGUGGAUCAGCUACGCCACGGUGAAUACGUUCCCGGGCCUU